Molecule: ribosomal RNA, 459 nt
Filed under: uncultured bacterium
Lineage: Bacteria
Description: partial 16S ribosomal RNA
Rfam family: Bacterial small subunit ribosomal RNA
Source: RNAcentral
CCUACGGGUGGCAGCAGUGAGGAAUAUUGGUCAAUGGCCGAGAGGCUGAACCAGCCAAGUCGCGUGAGGGAAGACGGCCCUACGGGUUGUAAACCUCUGUUGUCGGGGAGCAAAGCGAACCACGUGUGGUUCAUUGAGAGUAACCGAAGAAAAAGCAUCGGCUAACUCCGUGCCAGCAGCCGCGGUAAUACUGAGGAUGCGAGCGGUAUCCGGAGUUAUUGGGUUUAAAGGGUGCGCAGGCGGAGGUGCAAGUCAGCGGUCAAAUUGCGGGGCUCAACCCCGUACUGCCGUUGAAACUGCAUCCCUUGAGUGCGCGAGAAGUAUGCGGAAUGCGUGGUGUAGCGGUGAAAUGCAUAGAUAUCACGCAGAACUACGAUUGCGAAGGCAGCAUACCGGCGCGCAACUGACGCUCAUGCACGAAAGCGUGGGUAUCGAACAGGAUUAGAUACCCCUGUAGUC